This 620-nucleotide ribosomal RNA is filed under the name Vishniacozyma victoriae. RNAcentral's name for it is "partial large subunit ribosomal RNA". It matches the Rfam family "Eukaryotic large subunit ribosomal RNA", at positions 38 to 660 of the family's 3401-position model. The record is from RNAcentral. Lineage: Eukaryota; Fungi; Basidiomycota; Tremellomycetes; Tremellales; Bulleribasidiaceae.
GCAUAUCAAUAAGCGGAGGAAAAGAAACUAACUAGGAUUCCCUUAGUAACGGCGAGUGAACCGGGAUGAGCUCAAAUUUAAAAUCUGGCGUCUUUCAGGCGUCCGAGUUGUAAUCUAUAGAGGCGUUUUCCGCGCCGGACCGCGUCCAAGUCUCUUGGAAUAGAGUAUCAAAGAGGGUGACAAUCCCGUACUUGACGCGACAACCGGUGCUCUGUGAUACGUUCUCAAUGAGUCGAGUUGUUUGGGAAUGCAGCUCUAAAUGGGUGGUAAAUUCCAUCUAAGGCUAAAUAUUGGCGAGAGACCGAUAGCGAACAAGUACCGUGAGGGAAAGAUGAAAAGCACUUUGGAAAGAGAGUUAAACAGCACGUGAAAUUGUUAAAAGGGAAACGAUUGAAGUCAGUCGUGUGAAAGGUAUUCAGCCGUCUCUGGCGGUGUAUUUGCCUUUCACGGGUCAACAUCAGUUUGAUCCGGUAGAAAAAGGCAGGAGGAAGGUGGCACCCUCGGGUGUGUUAUAGCCUCUUGUCAUAUGUGCCGGACCAGACUGAGGAACGCAGCUUGCCGCAAGGCCGGGGUUCGCCCACGUACAAGCUUAGGAUGCUUUAAACGACCCGUCUUGAAAC